UAAGUGUGGUCCAUUCUCUCGAGGAAGCUGCAUUUGAGGGUGCUCCGUGUGGGAUUCGGUUGUGUGCCGAUCUCGGGUCUCCCUUUCACCGAAUCAAGUUGGAAAUUGUUCUAACUGAGGGUUUGAAGCUUUUUUCCUAAAUUUUCUAUGCCUAGGCUGCACAUGAGCAGAUGAAUUCUGCUUCUAAGGUAUAGACCGUGGCAUAGAGCUUGAGCUGUUCCAGCAGAGGCUGGGGAGGAGUUCGGAGUUAAGUAUGCCUUCGCUAGUGUGGUUGAACCAUGCAAUCUCAACCAAUAGAUUUUUAGUUAUUCCCUUUUAUUAUUUUGCAUCCUAUACAUUUGUCUAUAUUGCAGUUUGUAUAGUUUUCAUUUAGGCGAACACCAUUUUUGGAGUAUAUGUUGUUGAUUUUAGCCAUGAAAUUCUCUAACAUAAUUAUCUUUACUUAUCUUUUAUGCCGCUGAUAAAUGCUACUAUGAUUAUUGAUGGCAAUUGAAUGUAAUCUAACUAUGUGUAAAUGUGGGAAAACACACCCACGUGUAGAAUUUCAUUGUGUGACACUCGGGUUUCUGCUAUGAGAAUAUUAUACUCGAAUGGGAAAAUCGGGGAGUUACAAAGUUGGUAUCAAUACAUUCAUGUGUUAUUUAGCUAAUACAUUAAAAUUCAGGAUACGAGUCUCCGUACUUGAGUGCCGGUUUCAGGGCGUCACACUGUAUGUCUCAAAAAAAAAACAAAAAAUCAGUCCACACUAGAGGAGAAGACCAAACAUUCUUCCUAGAACAUUAUUCAUAUCUUUUUCAACAGAUCAAUCUUUAUUUAUUAUCCACGGUAUUGAUGCAAUAUGGCAGUGGUACUGAGGCCCAAUAAUAAUCUCAGGUUAGAUUUGGGUGCCAUAAUUCAGGUCCGAUUAAAAAUCAGAUUGCGUCACUUAGCCCACUCGAGUACUCAUCAUGUACCAAUCAUAUAUUGUUUUAGCCUAAUCAUUUAUUUAGGUUGCGUUUGGUGUCACCAAAUAUCAUGAAAUUUGAUGAUUAAUCACUCUAAUUUGGUGCAAAAUUUCAUGAUAUUUCAUGAAAUUUGGUGCAACCAAACUCACUCUUAAGCAUCCUUACUUUUUAAGAACCUUAGUGAAACAACAUCUUUUGUAUGGACGAAGAGAAUCUGGAUUCAAAUCCAAAGUUGGAUCCACACCCAAAACCAGAUUUUGGAUCCAAAAGCAAUUGAAAUCCUAAUUCAUGCUCAGAAGUAAAUCUAACAGGACCCUAUGGAUUCCUGAAUCCGGUUGGAUUUGGAUCCCAAAAUGCUAAUUCAUUCUCAAAACUAAAUCUGAUAGCACCAGAUGCAAACCAAUUUCUUCACCCAGUAACCAAUAAACAACUUCCACAAUCUUCUUCUUCUUCUUUUUUCCUCACAUGAAAACCAAUUCCAGACAACAAUAAACAAUAUACAAAUUCCAUAAAUUUCUUCUCAUACUUCCUGUUUCCUAAUCUUUAAGUAAUCAGC
Magnolia sinica is the source of this 1500-nucleotide long non-coding RNA. RefSeq lists it as uncharacterized. Lineage: Eukaryota; Viridiplantae; Streptophyta; Magnoliopsida; Magnoliales; Magnoliaceae. The transcript is spliced from 3 exons. The record is from RefSeq and is a predicted model, not a curated record.